This 275-nucleotide ribosomal RNA is filed under the name uncultured bacterium. RNAcentral describes it as "partial 16S ribosomal RNA". It matches the Rfam family "Bacterial small subunit ribosomal RNA", at positions 28 to 297 of the family's 1533-position model. The record is from RNAcentral.
GACGAACGCUGGCGGCGUGCUUAACACAUGCAAGUGGAGCGACGAACCAGGCUUCGGCCUGGGGCAAAGCCGCGAACGGGUGAGUAACACGUGGGUAACCUGCCCUGAUGACUGGGACAACCCGGGGAAACUCGGGCUAAUACCAGAUGUGGUCACUCCACACGAGUGGAAUGACUAAAGGUAGCUUCGGCCUCCGCAUCAGGAUGGGCCCGCGGCGCAUUAGCUUGUUGGUGGGGAAUGGCCUACCAAGGCGACGAUGCGUAGCUGGUCUGAGA